Molecule: ribosomal RNA, 497 nt
Filed under: uncultured bacterium
Lineage: Bacteria
Description: partial 16S ribosomal RNA
Rfam family: Bacterial small subunit ribosomal RNA
Source: RNAcentral
GAUGAACGCUGGCGGCGUGCCUAAUACAUGCAAGUCGAGCGAACAGACGAGGAGCUUGCUCCUCUGACGUUAGCGGCGGACGGGUGAGUAACACGUGGAUCACCUACCUAUAAGACUGGGAUAACUUCGGGAAACCGGAGCUAAUACCAGAUAAUAUAUUGAACCGCAUGGUUCAAUAGUGAAUGACGGUUUUGCUGUCACUUAUAGAUGGAUCCGCGCCGCAUUAGCUAGUUGGUAAGGUAACGGCUUACCAAGGCAACGAUGCGUAGCCGACCUGAGAGGGUGAUCAGCCACACUGGAACUGAGACACGGUCCAGACUCCUACGGGAGGCAGCAGUAGGGAAUCUUGGGCAAUGGGCGAAAGCCUGACGGAGCAACACCGCGUGGGUGAAGAAGGUCUUCGGAUCGUAAAGCUCUGUUAUUGGGAAAGAACAGAUGUGGAAUUAAAUAUGCACGUCUUGACGGUACCUAAUCAGAAAGCCACGGCUAACUACGUG